RNAcentral lists this long non-coding RNA (938 nucleotides) under Gallus gallus (chicken). RNAcentral describes it as "lncRNA (ENSGALG00000060173.1)". Lineage: Eukaryota; Metazoa; Chordata; Aves; Galliformes; Phasianidae. The record is from RNAcentral.
AAUCUGCUCCAUCCCUUCCUCUCCUGGAGAAGCAGAGAGCAGCUUUCAUCUCCAAAAUACAGAAAGCACUGGAGCAGCUCCCUCCCCUGUGCUCCCUCCUUCCUCUGAGUGGAGCUGGUAGCCUUAAGGGAAAGAAAAACCAGGAAACCACAGGCUGGAGUCUCAGGUGCGGCCAAAGGAAGGUGGUGGAAACGUUCCAGCCAGGAAAUAAAUCCAGCCAAGCCAUAAAAUGCUGCACUCAGACACUUUUCCUGACACUACUGUGGGCUUCUGCACUUUAUCCAUGCUGCCAGCCUUGCCACAUAUAAAAUUGAGCCACUACGUGGGGAAAGGAGCCCAAGGGACCUCCUGCAGAGACAGCCCUGGACAGCUCUGCCCCAACAGCAGAGCCAUGCCCAGAACUGGUGGCUUUGCUGCGUCUCAGAUUUCUGCUGCAGCAGAGAUGAGAACCCGGCUGGAGCACAGCGAUGACCUUACAGAAGCCAAAUCAAGCACCGUUUCUCAGCUAUGUUUCACCAGCAGACCUUUCCAAAUAACUGAUACAUCUUCGACCACUUCUUGUAUACACCUGGAGCUGCUCGGAAAUAAGCUCUCGCUGCUUUUUGCUACAGACACAUCAUCACUUCAGAACAUCAAAAUAAAGCACCCAAAGCUUCAGAAACACUUAUUGCAAAUAAUCUCAGGCAGCUUCACUGCCAGAAGAAAGGCGGCGUGAUGUUUAUCAGAAAACUGAGUUGAUAUGGAGGACCUUUAGCAUCUCCAGAUGAAAGCAAUCACUGCACAAACGCAGCGAGCCCUCAGAGGAAGGUAUUUGCCUUCCCCAAAGCUCAGCCCUGGCUCGGCGUGCCCCAGCAAUGCAAACCUGAGAGCAGCCCAUUCACCAGCUCUACAAUGAGUUCUUUUUCUGUUGAGGUUUUCCAUUUUUGCCUCAUUGCAGG